Molecule: non-coding RNA, 152 nt
Filed under: Verrucomicrobiota bacterium
Lineage: Bacteria; Pseudomonadati; Verrucomicrobiota
Description: Verrucomicrobia bacterium FMN sequence
Rfam family: FMN riboswitch aptamer (RFN element)
About the family: The RFN element is a highly conserved domain that is found frequently in the 5'-untranslated regions of prokaryotic mRNAs that encode for flavin mononucleotide (FMN) biosynthesis and transport proteins.
Source: RNAcentral
AAAGUUCUUCAGGGCAGGGUGAGUUUGGCGGCGCGCAAGGCCGCCAGACAAUUCCCGACCGGCGGUAAACCCCGCGAGCGUUUCGAGAUCGGAGCGCAGGACCCGGUGAGACUCCGGGGGCGACGGUAGAGUCCGGAUGAAAGAAGAAUCGG